AAAGCGUGCGCAGGCGGUAAUGUAAGACAGAUGUGAAAUCCCCGGGCUUAACCUGGGACCUGCAUUUGUGACUGCAUUGCUGGAGUGCGGCAGAGGGGGAUGGAAUUCCGCGUGUAGCAGUGAAAUGCGUAGAUAUGCGGAGGAACACCGAUGGCGAAGGCAAUCCCCUGGGCCUGCACUGACGCUCAUGCACGAAAGCGUGGGGAGCAAACAGGAUUAGAUACCCCGGU
RNAcentral lists this ribosomal RNA (230 nucleotides) under uncultured bacterium. RNAcentral's name for it is "partial 16S ribosomal RNA". It matches the Rfam family "Bacterial small subunit ribosomal RNA", at positions 562 to 791 of the family's 1533-position model. The record is from RNAcentral.